UACAGGGGGUGCAAACGUUGCUCGGAAUUAUUGGGCGUAAAGCGCGCGUAGGCGGCCACUUAAGUCGGAUGUGAAAGCCCCUGGCUCAACUGGGGAAGUGCACCCGAAACUGAAUGGCUUGAGUGCGAAAGAGGGUCGCGGAAUUCCCGGUGUAGAGGUGAAAUUCGUAGAUAUCAGGAAGAACACCAAUGGCGAAGGCAGCUCUCUGGGACGGUACUGACGCUGAGACGCGAAAGCGUGGGGAGCAAACAGG
Molecule: ribosomal RNA, 253 nt
Filed under: uncultured bacterium
Lineage: Bacteria
Description: partial 16S ribosomal RNA
Rfam family: Bacterial small subunit ribosomal RNA
Source: RNAcentral